This 270-nucleotide ribosomal RNA is filed under the name uncultured archaeon. RNAcentral describes it as "partial 16S ribosomal RNA". It matches the Rfam family "Archaeal small subunit ribosomal RNA", at positions 477 to 747 of the family's 1478-position model. The record is from RNAcentral.
CUGCAGCUCAAGUGGUGACCACUAUUAUUGGGCCUAAAACGUUCGUAGCCGGUUUGGUAAAUGCCUGGGUAAAUCGUGUAGCUUAACUAUACGAAUUCCGGGUAGACUGCCAAACUUGAGACCGGGAGAAGCUAGAGGCACUCCUGGGGUAGAGGUGAAAUUCUGUAAUCCUGGGGGGACCACCAGUGGCGAAGGCGUCUAGCUAGAACGGGUCUGACGGUGAGGAACGAAGCCCUGGGGCGCAAACCGGAUUAGAUACCCGCGUAGUCC